This is a regulatory RNA element of Lactobacillus apis, 111 nucleotides long. It matches the Rfam family "Ribosomal protein L20 leader". Rfam says of the family: This family is a putative r-protein leader autoregulatory structure found in B. subtilis and other low-GC Gram-positive bacteria. The record is from Rfam. NCBI's taxonomy places the organism in Bacteria, Bacillati, Bacillota, Bacilli, Lactobacillales, Lactobacillaceae.
GAGAACAAGAAGAAGCUCCCGCUUCUCGCCUAUGUUAAGUUGACCUCUGGGCUAAUCGAUAUUUUCUGUUGAUUAAAGGCGGGUACGUUUUACCCGUCUUUUUCUUGUCCU